RNAcentral lists this ribosomal RNA (495 nucleotides) under uncultured bacterium. Its description in RNAcentral is "partial 16S ribosomal RNA". It matches the Rfam family "Bacterial small subunit ribosomal RNA", at positions 28 to 506 of the family's 1533-position model. The record is from RNAcentral.
GAUGAACGCUGGCGGCGUGCCUAAUACAUGCAAGUCGAGCGAACAGACGAGGAGCUUGCUCCUCUGACGUUAGCGGCGGACGGGUGAGUAACACGUGGAUAACCUACCUAUAAGACUGGGAUAACUUCGGGAAACCGGAGCUAAUACCGGAUAAUAUAUUGAACCGCAUGGUUCAAUAGUGAAAGACGGUUUGCUGUCACUUAUAGAUGGAUCCGCGCCGCAUUAGCUAGUUGGUAAGGUAACGGCUUACCAAGGCAACGAUGCGUAGCCGACCUGAGAGGGUGAUCGGCCACACUGGAACUGAGACACGGUCCAGACUCCUACGGGAGGCAGCAGUAGGGAAUCUUCCGCAAUGGGCGAAAGCCUGACGGAGCAACGCCGCGUGAGUGAUGAAGGUCUUCGGAUCGUAAAACUCUGUUAUUAGGGAAGAACAAAUGUGUAAGUAACUAUGCACGUCUUGACGGUACCUAAUCAGAAAGCCACGGCUAACUACGU